AAGGAGCACAGUACCGAUUGCAGGCAAAUGUUCUGCACGGUCAGCUCAUGGGUGGAACGUUGAUUAUUCGGCACACUUGACCUGAUCUGGUCACCAGUACUGCUUCGGCGUGGAACGUGACUGUGGGAGGGCGAGGGUGCCGGGCACGCUGUUGGGUGUCUGAGGGAAUGAACCCCCUCAAGAUGCCGACCCCGGUAAAGAUCCGCUUAAAUCGGGUUGUGACGGGUGGUUGGUCGUUGUUUGAGAACUGCACAGUGAACGCGAGCGUCUGU
Molecule: unclassified non-coding RNA, 272 nt
Filed under: Streptomyces niveiscabiei
Lineage: Bacteria; Bacillati; Actinomycetota; Actinomycetes; Kitasatosporales; Streptomycetaceae
Description: partial 16S-23S intergenic spacer region
Source: RNAcentral